CUCAUUUUGUAUAUAUAUGANGUUAUGAUGCGAGUUACUCUNUGUAGUAUUGCUUGUACAUACUUGUAUGUUUAUUUGCAAGAUGUUGUCGGCGUGCACUUCUCCCCUAGUAGAACGUCGCGACCCGUUGGGUGUUGGUCUACGACCCGAGUGGAAGACUUUAAUAUUUUNAUAAUAUUAAAGACCCUUGGUGUUUUCUGACC
RNAcentral lists this ribosomal RNA (203 nucleotides) under Heterospilus sp. MAS-2010. Its description in RNAcentral is "partial 28S ribosomal RNA". Lineage: Eukaryota; Metazoa; Arthropoda; Insecta; Hymenoptera; Braconidae. The record is from RNAcentral.